UACGUAGGGGGCUAGCGUUGUCCGGAUUUAUUGGGCGUAAAGAGCGUGUAGGCGGCCAGGUAGGUCUGCUGUGAAAACUCGAGGCUCAACCUCGAGACGUCGGCGGAAACCAUCUGGCUAGAGUCCGGAAGAGGAGAGUGGAAUUCCUGGUGUAGCGGUGAAAUGCGCAGAUAUCAGGAGGAACACCGGUGGCGAAGGCGGCAUCCUGGACCGAAAUUGACGCUGAUGCGCGAAAGCCAGGGGAGCAAACGGG
This 253-nucleotide ribosomal RNA is filed under the name uncultured bacterium. Its description in RNAcentral is "partial 16S ribosomal RNA". It matches the Rfam family "Bacterial small subunit ribosomal RNA", at positions 524 to 776 of the family's 1533-position model. The record is from RNAcentral.